Molecule: long non-coding RNA, 1258 nt
Filed under: Anser brachyrhynchus (Pink-footed goose)
Lineage: Eukaryota; Metazoa; Chordata; Aves; Anseriformes; Anatidae
Description: lncRNA (ENSABRG00000009886.1)
Source: RNAcentral
AUGUCGCGCGGCGAGGCCCGGCCUCCUCGGGGACGCGCGGCCUCCGAGCGCCGGGAGCAUCCCAGCGGGCGCCGGCGGGACCAGAGAGUCGCUGGUAGAAAUCUUCAGGCACUCUGCAGUCAAACCACUCCUCACCUCACAGAUGUAAUCCGUCAAGGCAGGACUGGUACUGUUUCUGUGGUGUUUUUUUUGUUUGUUUGUUUUUUAAAAUACAGAUCACCCAAACCAAGUUUGGGACCUCCUUUGUUUCCUAUCUGACUUUCCUGGAAUUGUGCAUUUCUUUUUCCUCCUUCUUAAGUAUUUGUAUUGGGGCUGGCUGUGUUGCUUCUAGAAGCUUGUGAAAUGAUUUGUAGUUAUUAGCAUUUGUAUUGUUUUCUAAAACGCAUCAACCUUGUGUUGGUCUGAUUGUUUUCACUGGGUAUACCCUAGUGUAGAAGGAAGUUAAUUGCACGGGCACUUUCUCAGGCAUCUUUUUCUUUGCUCUCGUGUGUUCCCUAUGUUUGUUACAGAUUCUCUAAGUCAUAUCAGAAGAAUUACUAAAUGAAAGAGCGUUUGUCACAAUCUCAGAAGAGCAGUUGUGUUGCAUGGCUUCUGUGCAGUGUGCGCAUGAUUCAUCUGGCAGUGGGAGCACUUUGGAUUUUCCCACUUUAGCCAUUUUGGGUGUAGGCGCUGUCAGUGGGAGGGGGUUUGGGAACAUCAGGGGGAUUGGUCACAGGUCCAUAGGCAGAAGAAAAUGAUGUUCUGCUGCUAAGUGAAAGUUUAUUUUGAAUUUGUUUGGAAUAAGAAAUUUGUAGUUUAAUUGUUCACUUUCAAAACCUCCCCUUAAAAUUUUCUCCCUGUAAUUCUCAAGUCUUUCUAGAAAACACCUGAAUUGCAUUUUUUUUUUUUAAGGUAGAAAUACCUGCACGUUAUGGUGCUUGAAUAUGUGAAGUCAGCUGCUUAGAUGUCUGGGAGUCUGCCUUGUGUCCCAGAGAGGGCAAGGGGAAUUUUGAAGCAUCGUUUUUUUGUAGCAUCAGCACAGGAAUGUUUUACAAUCUGCUGCCCCCGCAGGGUUUUAGGAUGUGUAGUGGUCUUGGAAGACUCCUAGUGCCUGUCAUUACAGGUCCUGUUUUUCAAACAUGCUCGCUCCCAGCAUGAUGGAGCUCUGUUUUGAAAACCUGGACACUGGGUUUGUUGCCUGAACAGGAUCUCAGCUCCUUUGAAAAACCUGUCUCUGGUUGUAAAUGCCGCACUCCGAGGAAGCCAGCCAAGUGCCUGC